RNAcentral lists this ribosomal RNA (431 nucleotides) under uncultured bacterium. RNAcentral's name for it is "bacterial SSU rRNA". It matches the Rfam family "Bacterial small subunit ribosomal RNA", at positions 29 to 507 of the family's 1533-position model. The record is from RNAcentral.
AACGAACGCUGGCGGCAGGCCUAACGCAUGCAAGUCGAGCGCCCCGCAAGGGGAGCGGCGGACGGGUGAGUAACGCGUGGGAACGUGCCCCAAGGUACGGAAUAGCCCCGGGAAACUGGGGGUAAUACCGUAUGUGCCCUACGGGGGAAAGAUUUAUCGCCUUGGGAUCGGCCCGCGUUGGAUUAGGUAGUUGGUGGGGUAAUGGCCUACCAAGCCGACGAUCCAUAGCUGGUUUGAGAGGAUGAUCAGCCACACUGGGACUGAGACACGGCCCAGACUCCUACGGGAGGCAGCAGUGGGGAAUCUUAGACAAUGGGCGCAAGCCUGAUCUAGCCAUGCCGCGUGAGCGAUGAAGGCCUUAGGGUUGUAAAGCUCUUUCAGGGGGGAAGAUAAUGACUGUACCCCCAGAAGAAGCCCCGGCUAACUCCGUG